CGGGUGAGUAAUGCGUGACCAACCUGCCCCAUGCUCCAGAAUAGCUCUUGGAAACGGGUGGUAAUGCUGGAUGCACCAACUUGACGCAUGUCUUGUUGGGAAAGUGUUUAGUGGCAUGGGAUGGGGUCGCGUCCUAUCAGCUUGUAGGCGGGGUAAUGGCCCACCUAGGCUUCGACGGGUAGCCGGCCUGAGAGGGCGGACGGCCACAUUGGGACUGAGAUACGGCCCAGACUCCUACGGGAGGCAGCAGCC
Molecule: ribosomal RNA, 252 nt
Filed under: uncultured Gardnerella sp.
Lineage: Bacteria; Bacillati; Actinomycetota; Actinomycetes; Bifidobacteriales; Bifidobacteriaceae
Description: partial 16S ribosomal RNA
Rfam family: Bacterial small subunit ribosomal RNA
Source: RNAcentral